RNAcentral lists this non-coding RNA (30 nucleotides) under Mus musculus (house mouse). The record is from RNAcentral. Lineage: Eukaryota; Metazoa; Chordata; Mammalia; Rodentia; Muridae.
UCUUCAGGUACAGAAUUGUAAGGAAAAUGU